Molecule: non-coding RNA, 63 nt
Filed under: Planctomycetota bacterium
Lineage: Bacteria; Pseudomonadati; Planctomycetota
Description: Planctomycetes bacterium Fluoride sequence
Rfam family: Fluoride riboswitch aptamer (crcB RNA motif)
Source: RNAcentral
UUUAUUUCAGGCGAUGGAGUUCGCCCAACUGCUACGCUUGUAGCUGAUAACUCCUAUUGAAGC